GGGAAGAAAAUCAGACUUUAAGUGAAAACUAAAAUUUAAACAUUUGAGUGCCAAACUCCAUUUAACAUUUAUACAUCAGCUCUAAGGCUACAAACACCAUUACAUUCACUUCUAUUCCAAAGAUUUGAAGAUGUACCUGGAUACAGCCAAAGAAACAGAAAUGAGUGAGUAACUUUAGCAAGCAAACGGUGGAAAAUAACAGCAACUCAAAGCUGUAUACAACUUAAAGCUUAACCCCAGACUUGAAUCUGAAAAAUCAGAAAUCCCAUAGAGAAACUUUUCUCGAAUUUUGCUCAAAGAAUCUGAAUAAAACUAGCCACAAAUGAAACAAUAGCUGAAAGCUUUUGAAAUGCUAUUUUUGGUUCUAAAAAUCUAAUUGUGUUUUCAGAGAUUUUUUUUUUUUUUUUUUUUUUUUUU
Molecule: long non-coding RNA, 417 nt
Filed under: Nicotiana tabacum (common tobacco)
Lineage: Eukaryota; Viridiplantae; Streptophyta; Magnoliopsida; Solanales; Solanaceae
Description: long non-coding RNA (NTAB_LNC010669)
Source: RNAcentral